GACGAACGCUGGCGGCGUGCUUAACACAUGCAAGUCGAACGGAAAGGCCCUGCUUUUGUGGGGUGCUCGAGUGGCGAACGGGUGAGUAACACGUGAGUAACCUGCCCUUGACUUUGGGAUAACUUCAGGAAACUGGGGCUAAUACCGGAUAGGAGCUCCUGCUGCAUGGUGGGGGUUGGAAAGUUUCGGCGGUUGGGGAUGGACUCGCGGCUUAUCAGCUUGUUGGUGGGGUAGUGGCUUACCAAGGCUUUGACGGGUAGCCGGCCUGAGAGGGUGACCGGCCACAUUGGGACUGAGAUAGGGCCCAGACUCCUACGGGAGGCAGCAGUGGGGAAUAUUGCACAAUGGGCGGAAGCCUGAUGCAGAAACGCCGCGUGCGGGAUGACGGCCUUCGGGUUGUGAACCGCUUUCGCCUGUGACGAAGCGUGAGUGACGGUAAUGGGUAAAGAAGCACCGGCUAACUACGUG
This 468-nucleotide ribosomal RNA is filed under the name uncultured bacterium. Its description in RNAcentral is "partial 16S ribosomal RNA". It matches the Rfam family "Bacterial small subunit ribosomal RNA", at positions 28 to 507 of the family's 1533-position model. The record is from RNAcentral.